UACAGAGGUCUCAAGCGUUGUUCGGAUUCAUUGGGCGUAAAGGGUGCGUAGGCGGCGCGGAAAGUAGGGUGUGAAAUCCCUCGGCUCAACCGAGGAACUGCGCUCUAAACUACCGUGCUCGAGGGAGAUAGAGGUAAGCGGAACUUAGGGUGGAGCGGUGAAAUGCGUUGAUAUCCUAAGGAACACCGGUGGCGAAAGCGGCUUACUGGAUCUCUUCUGACGCUGAGGCACGAAAGCUAGGGUAGCGAACGGG
This 253-nucleotide ribosomal RNA is filed under the name uncultured bacterium. RNAcentral describes it as "partial 16S ribosomal RNA". It matches the Rfam family "Bacterial small subunit ribosomal RNA", at positions 524 to 776 of the family's 1533-position model. The record is from RNAcentral.